Felis catus (domestic cat) is the source of this 84-nucleotide transfer RNA. It matches the Rfam family "tRNA". Rfam says of the family: Transfer RNA (tRNA) molecules are approximately 80 nucleotides in length. Their secondary structure includes four short double-helical elements and three loops (D, anti-codon, and T loops). Further hydrogen bonds mediate the characteristic L-shaped molecular structure. tRNAs have two regions of fundamental functional importance: the anti-codon, which is responsible for specific mRNA codon recognition, and the 3' end, to which the tRNAs corresponding amino acid is attached (by aminoacyl-tRNA synthetases). tRNAs cope with the degeneracy of the genetic code in two manners: having more than one tRNA (with a specific anti-codon) for a particular amino acid; and 'wobble' base-pairing, i.e. permitting non-standard base-pairing at the 3rd anti-codon position. Lineage: Eukaryota; Metazoa; Chordata; Mammalia; Carnivora; Felidae. The record is from Rfam.
ACCUGGGUGGCUCAGUCGGUUGAGUAUCUGACUUGGGCUCAGGUCAUGAUCUUGUGGCUGUGAGUUCGAGCCCCACCUCGGGCU